CGCGUGGCUCUGACCGUGCUGUCUGUGCACCCAGCAACCCCGCGCCAGCGCGUCCCUGCCCAUACCUAGCGCCACCUCGACUGCUUUCAAAGAGCGCGUGCAGGCCGGGUGCAGUGGCUCACGUCUGUAAUCCCAACACUUUUGGAGGCCUAGGCGGGAGCAUCACUUGAGGCCAGGAGUUCAAAACCAGCCUGGCCAUCAUGGUGAAACCUUGUCUCUACUAAAAAUACAAAAAUUAGCCGGGCGUAGUGGUGCAUGCCUGUAAUCCCAAAUACUCAGGAGGCCGAGGCAGGAGAAUCGCUUGAACCCGGGAGGCAGAGGUUGCAGUGAGCUGAGAUUGUGCCGUUGCACUCCAGCCUGGGCAACAAGAGCGAAACUCAGUCUUAAAAAAAAAAAAAAGUCAGACAGGAGGGCUUUACAGGACGCCACCUCUGCAAAAACCAACCACUGCAGACGGGCAUGAAGGACAAAUACACAGGGGAGAGACGGAGUGCAGCAGACAUCGCUGUCCCGUGUCAUCAAAUGCAUGGACAAGGACAGCCCAGGUGUCCACCUGGACCUGAACACCCUCAAAACCGAGUUCCAGGAGCUUCAAAAGCUCAUGGGCACCGGGCCCCCACCAUCCUCCUGAACCCAAGCAGCAGCUGCAGCCCCACAGCAUCCGGGUGCAAGUCGGGACCAGAAGGAGCUUCUGCAAAAGUGCUGGAGUCUCAGCAGAUUUGAAAUCCCCGAGAAGGCCGGGCGCGGUGGCUCAAGCCUGUAAUUCCAGCACUUUGGGAGGCCGAGACGGGCGGAUCACGAGGUCAGGAGGUUGAGACUAUCCUGGCUAACACGGUGAAACCCCGUCUCUACUAAAAAAAAAAAAANNNNNNNNNNAUCCUGGCUAACACGGUGAAACCCCGUCUCUACUAAAAAAAAAAAAAUACAAAAAACUAGCCAGGCGAGGUGGCGGGCGCCUGUAAUCCCAACUACUCGGGAGGCUGAGGCAGGAGAAUGGCGUAAACCUGGGAGGCGGAACUUGCAGUGAGCCGAGAUGCGGCCACUGCACUCCAGCCUGGGCGACAGAGCGAGACUCCGUCUCAAAAAAAAAAAAAAAAAAAAAAAAGAAAUCCCCUAGAAGCAGAGUGAGGCUGAGUUCAGGAAUGCCUAAGACGGGGGGAAGCAGUGGCCUGUGUGCCCCAACCCCCACACAGUCCUUUGGGAUGUGGUCUCUUUGGACCCCAGCUCUGACUUAAGCCGCCUGGGGUGGGGCUGCUGUGGCUGUGCCCAGCUUGAAUAUAUCCGUGUGUCUAGAUGCAUAAUAACUUGAGUGCCUGAAGGCGGGAGUCAGGAUGGUCCUGGAGGCUGGGGAGUGGGUGGAGAAUCCUCCCCUGUCUCCGGGAAGGGGGCCAUCUGCGGCGAGUCUGAGCCGCAUCGGCACAUCUGAAGGUGCACCAGGAAAGGAGGGGGCUGUUCUUUGCUUCCUUCCCCCCUCUUCUCCCACACCGAGGUACGAUCAGUGCGUACCAAGUACAUAUCAUUCCUGUGACCAGCAGGUGCAUGAAAUAUUUGCAUAGCAUUCACUGGACAAAAUAGUCCUGCAGCAUGGACUUAAUAUGAUAAAAGAAGACUGUGAGAGAAGGAACAUUGUUUUGAAAGGGCAGAGGGGUCCGGCCGGGCACAGUGGCUCAUGCCUGUAAUCCCAGGACUUUGGGAGGCUGAGACAGGUGGAUCACAAGGUCAG
RNAcentral lists this long non-coding RNA (1723 nucleotides) under Piliocolobus tephrosceles (Ugandan red Colobus). RNAcentral describes it as "lncRNA (ENSPTEG00000035324.1)". Lineage: Eukaryota; Metazoa; Chordata; Mammalia; Primates; Cercopithecidae. The record is from RNAcentral.